CCCUUAGACGUUCUGGGCCGCACGCGCGCUACACUGACCAGUGCAACAAGCAUCCGUCCUUGGCCGACAGGCUCGGGCAAUCUUUGAACGCUGGUCGUGAUGGGGAUAGACUUUUGCAAUUUUUGGUCUUCAACGAGGAAUUCCUAGUAAACGCAAGUCAUCAGCUUGCAUUGAUUACGUCCCUGCCCUUUGUACACACCGCCCGUCGCACCUACCGAUUGAAUGGUCCGGUGAAAUCUCGGGACGGCGGCUCGGUCGCUUGCGUCCGACUGCUGAAACUUGAUUAAACCAUAUCAUUUAGAGGAAGGUGAAGUCGUAACA
This 321-nucleotide ribosomal RNA is filed under the name uncultured eukaryote. RNAcentral's name for it is "partial 18S ribosomal RNA". It matches the Rfam family "Eukaryotic small subunit ribosomal RNA", at positions 1470 to 1796 of the family's 1831-position model. The record is from RNAcentral.